Molecule: ribosomal RNA, 253 nt
Filed under: uncultured bacterium
Lineage: Bacteria
Description: partial 16S ribosomal RNA
Rfam family: Bacterial small subunit ribosomal RNA
Source: RNAcentral
UACGUAGGGUGCAAGCGUUGUCCGGAAUUAUUGGGCGUAAAGAGCUCGUAGGCGGUUUGUCGCGUCUGCUGUGAAAACCUAGGGCUCAACCCUGGGCCUGCAGCCGAUACGGGCAGACUAGAAUUCGGUAGGGGAGACUGGAAUUCCUGGUGUAGCGGUGAAAUGCGCAGAUAUCAGGAGGAACACCGGUGGCGAAGGCGGGUCUCUGGGCCGAUAUUGACGCUGAGGAGCGAAAGCGUGGGGAGCGAACAGG